CUUCCUUUGAGUUUAGUUCUGCUUGUUAGGCCUGCAGAGUGCAGGGAUCAGAGUUUUAUGAGAAUGAGAUCUGGUUCCCCGCUUUGAGAGCCUUUCAUUCCGUGGAGACUCCUCCUCCGUUCCAGAGCUUCCCGGCGUCUGGAUCGACUCCCUCCGCUGGGAGAAAAGCCGUCUUGUGUUUCCUCUGUCGUCCCGCGUCGCCCGUCUUUAUGCUCUGCCUGCUGGUGGCGGGCUCCACCACCGCGUCCGGCCUCAGAGCGGUUACCAUGGCAGCCGCUUCGAUCCGUCUCCUCAGGCCUAAACCUCUCUGAGCUCCUCCUCCUGAACGGUACCGCCGACCCAAACCGGAGACGAAGCCGAACCUCCAGUUUGUCACAUGUCUCACACUAACUCAUCCAAAAACCUGGGGGGAGGAGUUAUGACACCUGUCUGGUUUUACCUGUCAGGUAACGUCUCAGCCUGGAUCCUCAGCAGAGAUUUACUGAGCUUCAUGUGUUCUGCAGAAACAGGAGCAAAGCGGGUGUGAUGCACGUCAGUGGAGGUGUGAUGAUGUGGGCCUGUUCCACAGUCCGAUCACAGGAGUUGAUGAGUCUGUUGUCAGAGUCUGGACCAGCGCAGAGAUGAUGGAUGUCGGAGGAAAAGCAGCCGAAUAUUCUUCAUCCGAGCAGGAACGCAGCGCCAUUAGUCACAGAGCGCAGGAGCGCGGCGGCUCGAUCCUCAGUGAGGGUGCAGCAAACUCUCAUUAUUCUGCAGGAUUCUCUCUGGAUCCCGUCGGGGUUUGUCACUCAGAACCAGAGCGUGUCAUCUCCUCGGGACCAGAGGGGCGGCGUCCUUUGUGAUGCGGCGGCCAGA
Oryzias melastigma (Indian medaka) is the source of this 852-nucleotide long non-coding RNA. RefSeq lists it as uncharacterized. NCBI's taxonomy places the organism in Eukaryota, Metazoa, Chordata, Actinopteri, Beloniformes, Adrianichthyidae. The transcript has 3 exons. The record is from RefSeq and is a predicted model, not a curated record.